ACCCGAUGUUCUGAGGAAGCAGGUGUCUUC
This 30-nucleotide non-coding RNA is filed under the name Rattus norvegicus (Norway rat). Lineage: Eukaryota; Metazoa; Chordata; Mammalia; Rodentia; Muridae. The record is from RNAcentral.